This 253-nucleotide ribosomal RNA is filed under the name uncultured microorganism. RNAcentral describes it as "partial 16S ribosomal RNA". It matches the Rfam family "Bacterial small subunit ribosomal RNA", at positions 524 to 776 of the family's 1533-position model. The record is from RNAcentral.
GACAGAGGUGGCAAGCGUUGCUCGGAUUCACUGGGCUUAAAGGGCGCGUAGGCGGCUUUGUAAGUCCGAGGUGGAAUUCCACAGCUCAACUGUGGAACUGCCUUUGAUACUGCAAGGCUUGAGUCAGGUAGAGGAGGGCGGAAUUCCCGGUGUAGCGGUGAAAUGCGUAGAUAUCGGGAGGAAGGCCGGUGGCGAAGGCGGCCCUCUGGGCCUGUACUGACACUGAGGCGCGAAAGCGUGGGGAGCAAACAGG